Molecule: ribosomal RNA, 301 nt
Filed under: uncultured bacterium
Lineage: Bacteria
Description: partial 16S ribosomal RNA
Rfam family: Bacterial small subunit ribosomal RNA
Source: RNAcentral
CAGCAGCCACGGUAAUACAGAGGGUGCGAGCGUUAAUCGGAUUUACUGGGCGUAAAGCGUGCGUAGGCGGCUUUUUAAGUCGGAUGUGAAAUCCCUGAGCUUAACUUAGGAAUUGCAUUCGAUACUGGGAAGCUAGAGUAUGGGAGAGGAUGGUAGAAUUCCAGGUGUAGCGGUGAAAUGCGUAGAGAUCUGGAGGAAUACCGAUGGCGAAGGCAGCCAUCUGGCCUAAUACUGACGCUGAGGUACGAAAGCAUGGGGAGCAAACAGGAUUGGAUACCCGUGUAGUCCCUGUCUCUUAUAA